RNA transcript from Anarrhichthys ocellatus (wolf-eel), 1900 nucleotides. It is a transcript of the gene named protein-L-isoaspartate (D-aspartate) O-methyltransferase, with no coding region annotated. Lineage: Eukaryota; Metazoa; Chordata; Actinopteri; Perciformes; Anarhichadidae. The record is from RefSeq and is a predicted model, not a curated record. The transcript is spliced from 8 exons.
UUCCCUGUGUUUAAAUUUUAGCCGAGGCUUACAUUAAAGUCAAAGAUUAAAUAUUUGAUUAAAAAACAAUGUCACUGUUUUGUAUCAGGGGGCGUGUUCGUUCAUUUUGAAUGUCUCGUGACGUCUCCACCGCUCCCCCGUCCGCUCUAGAGGUUGUCAGCUUCCUCGGGAGAACAGUUGGCGCAGGCGCGGCACUGACGGCUGCUGUAUACUUACUCCGCAAAGUGUGUUUAAUAAUGGCCUGGAAAUCUGGAGGAGCCAGCCACGCAGAGCUUGUUAACAACCUCCGCAAAAAUGGAAUUAUUAAGUCCGACAAGGUCUAUGAAGUCAUGCUGGCCACAGACCGAGCCCACUUCUCUCGGUGUAAUCCGUACAUGGACUCGCCGCAGUCAAUAGGCUAUCAAGCAACCAUCAGCGCCCCACACAUGCACGCCUACGCCCUGGAGCUUCUACACGAGCAGCUGUACGAGGGAGCCAAAGCUUUGGACGUCGGCUCCGGCAGUGGAAUCCUGUCCGUCUGCUUCGCACGAAUGGUUGGAGCGAAAGGGAAAGUUAUAGGAAUUGAUCACAUCAAGGAGCUGGUAGAUGAGUCUGUAACUAAUGUGAAGAAAGAUGACCCCAGCUUGAUAACAUCGGGCAGAGUCACGCUAUUAGUGGGAGACGGGCGGAUGGGCCACACUGAGGAAGCACCUUAUGACGCCAUCCAUGUUGGCGCAGCAGCACCCAAUGUCCCCCAAGCGCUUCUGGACCAGCUGAAGCCCGGCGGUCGGCUGAUUCUGCCCGUUGGCCCGGCGGGAGGGAACCAGAUGCUGGAGCAGUACGACAAGUUGGAGGACGGCAGCACCAAAAUGAAGCCCUUGAUGGGAGUGAUUUAUGUGCCUUUAACAGACAAAGACAAGCAGUGGUCCAGGUGGAAGUGACUUCUUUCUCUCUCCCCCCCCCAUCUCCUCCUCUCACUCUCUCCUUCUCACAGUGGCAAAAAGGGAUGAACUCUGAAGAGGAAGACGGUCCAUAAUCCACCUUUAAGUUUGAACCUGGAGAGAACUUGGAUGGGGUCAAACAGCCCAUGGCAUUUUGUUCAAAGCAUAACAAAACAUGCUCUUUUUGUUUAAGUCUAACGAUGGACUAGAGUGUCAUUGUUGACCGCCAGAGGCGCUGGGAAGAAAGACUGCUUGAAGCUCCGCACAGAAAUAUCGGAGAGGACAUUUUGUUUUUUGUUCAGGCCUGCAUUCUUUUGGUUGUGUAUACUUUUUAACUGCUGGAUUUUAGGGUUUGAUUUUGAUUUUUUUUUUGUGGUUUUACCAUUUUAAAUGCAAUCAGCAGUUUUUACAAUGUUACAUUUCAGCAGCAUCAAAGCUGAAUGUAGGAGGAACACAGGACAACGACGAGGAAAGCCUGGAUCCUUUAGAUAACUCACCUAGCUACUGUGUGUGUGUGUGUGUGUGCGCGCAUGUGUGUGUAACAUCUAACCGUAGACUUCUCUGCUAACAUAUGAGCUGCCAGCAGUACACACAGGCAACACAAUGGCUGACCCACACAACCCGUUUCAUGUGCAGCACUCUUACGUCAUUCUACACAUAGAAUAAGCAACGCAUUGGAUCACACCGAACAUACUCCAAAGAGAGCUGAGUGCUAACAACACUGAUGCACGUGCACAUACAGGGCUGUGCUUUCCGCUUCCUGCCGCUGGUUUUCCAUCAACGAUUAAACGCAGGCUCUUCUGGCGACUGUUACUAAAUGGGAUAGUCACUGCUUUGCCAAAAUAAACUUCAACAAUAUAAAGCAAAUGAAUGUCUGUUUUCUUUAAAUCGAAAAGCACAUUUUGUUUUGGAUGACGGAUGCUAUUUGGCUGUCACAGUUUCUGGAAUGGCACAUGAAAAUAAAGAGAUGCUUAUGUUUU